GACGAACGCUGGCGGCGUGCUUAAUACAUGCCAGUCGAACGGAAAGGCCCUGCACUUGUGGCAUGUUCGAGUGGCGAAAGGGUGAGUAUCACGUGAGUAACCUGCCCUUGACUGUGGGAUAACUUCAGGGAACUGGGGCGAAUAUCGGAUAGGAGCACCUGCUGCAUGGUGGGGGUUGGUAAAUUUCGGAGGUUUGGGACGGACUCGCGGGCUAUCAGCUUGUUGGUGGGGUAGUGGCUUACCAAGGCAUGGACGGGUAGCCGGCUUGAGAGGGUGACCGGCCACAUUGGGACUGAGAUGCGGGCCAGACUGCUACGGGAGGCAGCGGUGAGAGAUAGUGCGCGAUGGGCGGAAGCCUGAUGCAGCAACGCCGCGUGCGGGAUGACGGCCUUCGGGGUGUAACCCGCUUUCGCCUGUGACGAAGCGUGAGUGACGGUAAUGGGUAAAGAAGCACCGGCUAACUACGUG
This 468-nucleotide ribosomal RNA is filed under the name uncultured bacterium. Its description in RNAcentral is "partial 16S ribosomal RNA". It matches the Rfam family "Bacterial small subunit ribosomal RNA", at positions 28 to 507 of the family's 1533-position model. The record is from RNAcentral.